RNAcentral lists this ribosomal RNA (679 nucleotides) under Photobacterium damselae subsp. piscicida. RNAcentral's name for it is "bacterial SSU rRNA". It matches the Rfam family "Bacterial small subunit ribosomal RNA", at positions 60 to 718 of the family's 1533-position model. The record is from RNAcentral. Lineage: Bacteria; Pseudomonadati; Pseudomonadota; Gammaproteobacteria; Vibrionales; Vibrionaceae.
AGUCGAGCGGCAGCGACUUAACUGAACCUUCGGGGAACGUUAAGGGCGGCGAGCGGCGGACGGGUGAGUAAUGCCUGGGAAUAUGCCCUGAUGUGGGGGAUAACUAUUGGAAACGAUAGCUAAUACCGCAUAAUCUCUUCGGAGCAAAGAGGGGGACCUUCGGGCCUCUCGCGUCAGGAUUAGCCCAGGUGGGAUUAGCUUGUUGGUGAGGUAAUGGCUCACCAAGGCAACGAUCCCUAGCUGGUCUGAGAGGAUGAUCAGCCACACUGGAACUGAGACACGGUCCAGACUCCUACGGGAGGCAGCAGUGGGGAAUAUUGCACAAUGGGGGAAACCCUGAUGCAGCCAUGCCGCGUGUGUGAAGAAGGCCUUCGGGUUGUAAAGCACUUUCAGUAGGGAGGAAGGUAGUGUAGUUAACACCUGCAUUAUUUGACGUUACCUACAGAAGAAGCACCGGCUAACUCCGUGCCAGCAGCCGCGGUAAUACGGAGGGUGCGAGCGUUAAUCGGAAUUACUGGGCGUAAAGCGCAUGCAGGCGGCCUGUUAAGUCAGAUGUGAAAGCCCGGGGCUUAACCUCGGAAUUGCAUUUGAAACUGGCAGGCUAGAGUCUUGUAGAGGGGGGUAGAAUUUCAGGUGUAGCGGUGAAAUGCGUAGAGAUCUGAAGGAAUACCAGUGGCGA